Neofelis nebulosa (Clouded leopard) is the source of this 887-nucleotide long non-coding RNA. RefSeq lists it as uncharacterized. The record is from RefSeq and is a predicted model, not a curated record. The transcript has 2 exons. NCBI's taxonomy places the organism in Eukaryota, Metazoa, Chordata, Mammalia, Carnivora, Felidae.
AGCAUAUGAUAUCAUUCAAAUCCAUUUUUUCCUAAGCACAGAGCAGGAUCUCUCAAUGACACCCCCAGUCAGCUCCUUCAGGGCUGUAACGAGGUUCUUGCUGUAUUUCAGCCGUGCCUUCUCCUUGUCACUUUCAACUUUUCAAGGCUACAUCUGUGAUACCUAAAGGUUUUGAUGGCCAAUAGAGGGAUCUGUUAACAAGAUAUUCAUUAAUUUUAUAAACAGUUGAAGUUUGCAGAGACUGUAGUUUUUUGGUUCGUCUUCAUUUUGAAGUGACUUGAAGAUCUACUUAUCUUGGCUGCCCCUCAUUGUGCAUGACCUGGAGAAAAUGGAAUCUUCCCAGGGCUUUGGCAAAUACCUUGUAUGACCUGCACAGAUCCUCACCUAAUCCUUCCGUCUCUUCUUCCUUCUUGAGGAGCUGUCCCUGAUUCUCUGCCAUAGGCACAACCACCUACUUAUUGAGAGUGAAGCUUUGAUCCUGAAAUACAAGCAUUAUCAUAAUGAAGCUGAAGCUGCCUUGGGCAAGAUCACAGCUCACUAUGAAUUUGGGGAAAUAAAAAUCUGCCAAGGAAGAGAUCUCGACAAACACUGGAGACUCAUCAACCGGAGUGAAUUCCCUCAGUGAAAUCGCUAUCCUCUGCCAAGAAUCAAAGGUCAUCCCAGUGGAGUGCCGUCUUCGUGUUCAGCCGCUACGGAGUGUCUGGAACAGAGUGAGAACAAAAAUUAUCCCAGUUUGGUGCCCCCUGACUCUUUCGGGAAGAAUCCCAACAAGAUUGCCACUGGGAGUUCAGAGAACACAUUUGAAGACUGGGGAAGGGCCAGGCUAAACAAGGGAGAAUAGUGAUGUAAAGACAAUAAGAUAAAGGAAAUAAAUGACUCAAAGACAA